UACGUAGGUGGCAGGCGUUAUCCGGAUUUAUUGGGCGUAAAGGGAACGCAGGCGGUCUUUUAAGUCUGAUGUGAAAGCCUUCGGCUUAACCGGAGUAGUGCAUUGGAAACUGGGAGACUUGAGUGCAGAAGAGGAGAGUGGAGCUCCAUGUGUAGCGGUGAAAUGCGUAGAUAUAUGGAAGAACACCAGUGGCGAAAGCGGCUCUCUGGUCUGUAACUGACGCUGAGGUUCGAAAGCGUGGGUAGCAAACAGG
Molecule: ribosomal RNA, 253 nt
Filed under: uncultured bacterium
Lineage: Bacteria
Description: partial 16S ribosomal RNA
Rfam family: Bacterial small subunit ribosomal RNA
Source: RNAcentral